AAGGGGGGAUACCAGAAAUGGGCUUCGCAGGGGAGGGGGGAGUCUGUGGGGUGGGAGGAUGGGGGCUGAUCUAGACUCCUUUCCUGGCACCCUGAAUCCCAUCUGAAGGGCCUUUCCUUCUGCUGCUUCCUUAUGGUGUUGCUUCCGAACAUGGCAGAGCUUUUCUUUGAAAGGAAGGCUGGGCAGGAACAGGCUGGAGAAGAUGAUUUGGGGGGCAGGUGGAAAGAGGGAGAGGGAGAGAGAGAGAUGAUGAUGUAGCUGGUAAGGUUUGAGAAACAAAGUACCAAAGAGCCAGAAAGCGAUGAUGUGUGGGGAGGGAGAGACUCCAAAUCCAAGGGACAGGCUCAUUUGCACUGGGAUGGACGUGGUGUGAUCAAUACCAAAAGCAAGCAAACAAAAAACCAAAACCACUCACAUUAAACCCUUAUUAUAUUUCUGGAGCAAAUCCUGAAAUGUUUGCUGAGGUAGUCCUGCCCUCCGUUCCCAUAGCUGAAGAGGGAUUUGAACCCUGUCUUUGUCUGACAUUCACCCACUCCACUGCACAGGUUCUCCUGAAAGGUUUUCCUGGGGGAAGAAAUAAACACCCUACCCACAACUUAACUUGAAUGGGAAAGGUUUGGGUUCAAGAGUCGGUGAGACCCCCCCCUUCCCAUUCAUCAUCCUCUUUCUUUCCCAUUUUCUCCCCACCCCCGGCUGUUCCUUCCUUAGCAAUCUUUCCGUUCUCCUUUUCCUGCCCUUGCAAGAACAGAGAGAGACACACACGGAGGUUUCGCCUGCACAAGAGAGGAAAAGGACAAACUCCACAUGCUGGAAGGAAGAGCUCUUGUUUUGCUUUAUCCAAAGAAACCUCCUUUUUCUUUCCUCCCAGGCAGGACCCGAGACUGAGCCGAGGCUCCCCUGGAUUUGCUCAGGACCCAGAGAGAAGCGAACUCCCGAUCGAUCCCUCCAACCGUUGCAAGGCAGUGGCCUUUCUGGAGAUGACCCCGUGUUGA
Molecule: long non-coding RNA, 992 nt
Filed under: Pogona vitticeps (central bearded dragon)
Lineage: Eukaryota; Metazoa; Chordata; Lepidosauria; Squamata; Agamidae
Description: lncRNA (ENSPVIG00000012108.1)
Source: RNAcentral